RNAcentral lists this small RNA (28 nucleotides) under Bombyx mori (domestic silkworm). RNAcentral's name for it is "ovarian small RNA-20346". The record is from RNAcentral. Lineage: Eukaryota; Metazoa; Arthropoda; Insecta; Lepidoptera; Bombycidae.
UACAUAAAAUAAAACAUGAAUAUACGUA